ACGUCGUAACAAGGUUUCCGUAGGUGAACCUGCGGAAGGAUCAUUAACACGUUUUUCCGAACGUUUACAUGAACCAUCUCAUCUUCUGUGCUUUUAAACCGGCCUCCCGACCCUUUGCCUUCCAGCUUGCUGGCUGCGCACGGUUGGGCGUCUUUGGGGUCCAAGGAGCGUCUUCCAGAAGGAUUGUUUGGGCGAAAUGCCUGGUCUUUCUUAGUACGGUGGAUGCACCUCCUGAAGGCGUUGCCAAACAACCCAACCUUGAAUCUAAUUGCUCUAAUUUUUUAGUUGUGCCUUAACGGGCCAACGAUAUUUAAAACAACAACAACUCUUAACAACGGAUAUCUUGGCUCUC
RNAcentral lists this unclassified non-coding RNA (352 nucleotides) under fungal sp. RNAcentral describes it as "partial internal transcribed spacer region". The stretch from base 1 to 46 matches the Rfam family "Eukaryotic small subunit ribosomal RNA", at positions 1786 to 1831 of the family's 1831-position model. The record is from RNAcentral. Lineage: Eukaryota; Fungi.